GAUGAACGCUAGCUCCAGGCUUAACACAUGCAAGUCGCGGGGCAGCAUGGGGGUUGCCUGCAAUCCCCGAUGGCGACCGGCGCACGGGUGAGUAACGCGUAUCCAACCUGCCCUUCACCACGGGAUAACCCGGCGAAAGUCGGACUAAUACCGUAUGUUGUCCAUUGACGGCAUCCGAUUUGGACGAAAGGCUUGGCGGUGAGGGAGGGGGAUGCGUCCGAUUAGCCAGACGGCGGGGUAACGGCCCACCGUGGCUACGAUCGGUAGGGGUUCUGCGAGGAAGGUCCCCCACACUGGAACUGGGACACGGUCCAGACUCCUACGGGAGGCAGCAGUGAGGAAUAUUGGUCAAUGGGCGUAAGCCUGAACCAGCCAAGUAGCGUGCAGGAUGACGGCCCUAUGGGUUGUAAACUGCUUUUAAGCGGGGAUAAAGUGGCCCACGUGUGGGCUUUUGCAGGUACCGCAUGAAUAAGGACCGGCUAAUUCCGUG
Molecule: ribosomal RNA, 490 nt
Filed under: uncultured bacterium
Lineage: Bacteria
Description: partial 16S ribosomal RNA
Rfam family: Bacterial small subunit ribosomal RNA
Source: RNAcentral